AAAGUUGUUGUGGUUAAAAAGCUCGUAGUUGAACCUUGGGCCUGGCUGGCCGGUCCGCCUCACCGCGUGUACUGGUCCGGCCGGGCCUUUCCCUCUGUGGAACCCCAUGCCCUUCACUGGGUGUGGCGGGGAAACAGGACUUUUACUUUGAAAAAAUUAGAGUGCUCCAGGCAGGCCUAUGCUCGAAUACAUUAGCAUGGAAUAAUAGAAUAGGACGUGUGGUUCUAUUUUGUUGGUUUCUAGGACCGCCGUAAUGAUUAAUAGGGACAGUCGGGGGCAUCAGUAUUCAAUUGUCAGAGGUGAAAUUCUUGGAUUUAUUGAAGACUAACUACUGCGAAAGCAUUUGCCAAGGAUGUUUUCAUUAAUCAGGAACGAAAGUUAGGGGAUCGAAGACGAUCAGAUACCGUCGUAGUCUUAACCAUAAACUAUGCCGACUAGGGAUCGGACGAUGUUAUUUUUUGACUCGUUCGGCACCUUACGAGAAAUCAAAGUGCUUGGGCUC
RNAcentral lists this ribosomal RNA (502 nucleotides) under Fusarium domesticum. RNAcentral describes it as "SSU rRNA". It matches the Rfam family "Eukaryotic small subunit ribosomal RNA", at positions 606 to 1114 of the family's 1831-position model. The record is from RNAcentral. Lineage: Eukaryota; Fungi; Ascomycota; Sordariomycetes; Hypocreales; Nectriaceae.